AAGAAUAGGUCACACAGUUUUAAGCCAGCCUUGCAGCAGAGAUGGAAACAUCAGACAAACUGCUUAUCUGACAUAUCCAUAAUAAUUUACCAUACCAUGCGUUUCCCUACUCUGUUGUUCAUUUGCACUGUCAAGCACGAUAAGUGAACAAAGAUAGACACACUGUUAGCAUUUAAAUAUUACAAUGCUUCCCUGUCUUAUCAUCUAUUUUCUUUCCAUCCAUCUCUUUUCCUUUUUUUCUCCAUUUAGCCUCUUUUUACAGCUUCCCUCCUCCAUCUUAAGAAGCUUUUAAGAAAAUGAGGGUUAUUUUUUAUUAUAAGCAAGUGACACUGUGAUGAAUUCUUCCAUAUGAUGUAUGUAGUGCAGAUUGCCUUACUUAAAUGAUUAAUUAAAAUUGAUCAUAAAAUAAUGCUAACUUACUGAGCCCUCUCCAUUACUUUUGAAUCCUUUGUUUUUAGAGAAAAUCAUGAGAUGUGCUGCAGCAAUAGUGUUAGUCUGUGAGCAAGGAAUUCUUUGAGCUGUGGAAGGCUAGAAGCUUCUCUAGCAUUUGAUGCUUUCAAAGGAGGCAGCAGAAUGUCCUUUGGGGACACCCUGCCAGAGUUUAUAGAUUUGUUUUCUUUUCUAUUGGGAAAUGUGGCAAUUGCAUCCUAGGGACUUGGGUAGACAUAAAAAUGUAGCAUUCUAAUUAUGUCUAUAUGGAUGAAAGAUUUAUUUUUAGCUCUUUGAACAUUUAAAUGUGUACUUCUAGUGUUAUCUAACAAAUUAUAAGACACUUUAUAAAAUGGUAUUGUCUUAUAAUAGAUCCUAAGAGACAAGAGAAAAAUUGCUGAGGGCAGGAUUUCAGGCACUGCAGCCCUUAUCUUUACCUGUCAUCAAAACCCUCUGUUCUAACCAAUUGACUGGAAUCCAGCCUAUAAUGUUAUUCGGGAAUAAAGACCACACAGUGAUUGCUGUAAAAAAAAAAAAAAAGAUAUACCCUGGAAAUCUGACACAGAGACAGAGUAAUCAAAAGCUCCUCUGUUUUGGCUACAUCAACAUCAUAAUCAUAAUCAGACAUUAAUUGAUAUUUGGACAAGGUGGUAAUCACUGGUGCUGUGAAGAGUAAUGAAGAGGUAUUAGACACAUCAGAAUAAUAAUGUGAAAAGAAGGCUGAAAUGUUAUUCUCCAACAAAGAAGAAACAAAUAUUCAAAAUUGUAAGAAGAAAAAUGCUGCAAAGUUACAAGAUUCUAUGCAGUGUUACUUGGUUUGCAGAUGAAGUCAGGACUUACUUGAAUCAGAAUUACUAAACCCCUAAAUAGACCUAUUCCUGCUUGCCAUGCCCAAAUCCCCUCUUGGUUCAAAUUUUACAAAAAAGAAGGCAUACUACACAUUUUUAAGUACACGAGAUCAUGAGAAAGUAUUUAAUUUUCACAUACUUGUGAUUUGGAGAAAGAACUUAACUUUUUUAUGAAGCGUGAGAGGAAAUUGAGGAUGAGCAUUUGGAUUA
RNAcentral lists this long non-coding RNA (1487 nucleotides) under Homo sapiens (human). RNAcentral describes it as "HSALNT0127506". Lineage: Eukaryota; Metazoa; Chordata; Mammalia; Primates; Hominidae. The record is from RNAcentral.